Erinaceus europaeus (western European hedgehog) is the source of this 104-nucleotide small nuclear RNA. The record is from Ensembl. Lineage: Eukaryota; Metazoa; Chordata; Mammalia; Eulipotyphla; Erinaceidae.
GUGCACUCCAGCAGCACAUGUACUACAAUUGGAACAGCACAGAGCGAUUAGCAUGGCCCCUGUGCAAGGAUGAUGCAAAAAUGUAUAGUAUUUUCUAUUUUUUU